UGGUGGAGUGAUUUGUCUGGUUAAUUCCGUUAACGAACGAGACCUCAGCCUGCUAACUAGUCCUGCAAACCGGCUGCUGGUGAAGCGUGUACUGUGCGAGCUGCUCUAGGGUGGUUCGCCGAUGCGCGUGGACCCUUGACGAGUUUGUAGCUGACUUCUUAGAGGGACUAUUCUGUGCUUAACGAUUGGAAGUUUGAGGCAAUAACG
This 207-nucleotide ribosomal RNA is filed under the name uncultured eukaryote. RNAcentral's name for it is "partial 18S ribosomal RNA". It matches the Rfam family "Eukaryotic small subunit ribosomal RNA", at positions 1299 to 1457 of the family's 1831-position model. The record is from RNAcentral.